This 285-nucleotide long non-coding RNA is filed under the name Setaria viridis. RNAcentral's name for it is "long non-coding RNA (SVIR_LNC009139)". Lineage: Eukaryota; Viridiplantae; Streptophyta; Magnoliopsida; Poales; Poaceae. The record is from RNAcentral.
UUGUAGCUAAUAAUUUUCAAAUCUGAAUACUUUUCCUUUGGGGAUGUCUAUUCCAAUGGUAAUAACAUAGGGCGAGUGGUCGGAUGUUUCCAUUACCAGUGGAAAUGCUGAGGUAAUGGGAUAGGAAAAGGACCAGGAAGUGGAGGUAAAGAACCAGUCUAACCUCUCAAGUAAGGGUGCUUGUUGCUUGUUUGUCCAAGUAAAUUGUUUUGACUUUAAAGGAACUUCAACUAGGCCUAGGACGCUGAUUGCUUCAUUAAACAUUAACAUUUCUGAGUAAUUCCC